CAACAUAACUACAUGUUUAGACGGCAGAAGAUAGAGAAAUGACGACCUAUUCAAGUCUGUUGCGGACAAGCUAUGUGAUGCUGGUUUUUCACCUCACUAAGCCCGCUAGAAGCCACAGAGAAAUGAAAUAUUACCACAAGCAGGUGGGAGGGCACGUCUGCUCACAGCUCAGAAGGAGACUGCCAUUGUGAACAUGGUUCUGGAGAACAACGCUAUCACCCUAAAACAAAUCCAAAGAAAGAGAGUUCUGGAGCUGGAUGCGGCUGCCGAGAACCAUGAAUUCCUCUACAAUGAUGAGGCAGGGUUCAACUUGGUGAAAAGAAGGCAUCGGGAAAG
Epinephelus moara (kelp grouper) is the source of this 336-nucleotide long non-coding RNA. RefSeq lists it as uncharacterized. The transcript has 3 exons. Lineage: Eukaryota; Metazoa; Chordata; Actinopteri; Perciformes; Serranidae. The record is from RefSeq and is a predicted model, not a curated record.